ACGGGAGGCAGCAGUGGGGAAUAUUGGACAAUGGGGGAAACCCUGAUUCAGCGACGCCGCGUGAGUGAAGAAGUAUUUCGGUAUGUAAAGCUCUAUCAGCAAGGAAGAAAAUGACGGUACUUGACUAAGAAGCUCCGGCUAAAUACGUGCCAGCAGCCGCGGUAAUACGUAGGGGGCGAGCGUUGUCCGGAAUGAUUGGGCGUAAAGGGCGCGUAGGCGGCCUGUUAAGUCUGGAGUGAAAGUCCUGUUUUCAAGAUGGGAAUUGCUUUGGAUACUGAUGGGCUUGAGUGCAGGAGAGGUUAUCGGAAUUCCCGGUGUAGCGGUGAAAUGCGUAGAGAUCGGGAGGAACACCAGUGGCGAAGGCGGGUAACUGGACUGCAACUGACGCUGAGGCGCGAAAGUGUGGGGAGCAAACAGGAUUAGAUACCCUGGUA
RNAcentral lists this ribosomal RNA (434 nucleotides) under uncultured bacterium. RNAcentral describes it as "partial 16S ribosomal RNA". It matches the Rfam family "Bacterial small subunit ribosomal RNA", at positions 341 to 792 of the family's 1533-position model. The record is from RNAcentral.